Molecule: long non-coding RNA, 781 nt
Organism: Strongylocentrotus purpuratus (purple sea urchin)
Lineage: Eukaryota; Metazoa; Echinodermata; Echinoidea; Camarodonta; Strongylocentrotidae
Exons: 2
Source: RefSeq, a predicted model, not a curated record
UUUCUUCACUCCAGCCAUUACUUUGCCGUUUCGCCAAAUUUGUCUUCCUUUAAAACCCAGAAUAUAGGGGAUAAGGGUUAGAUUUACACCAGGAAAGAAGAAUUGUACGAGACUAAGAGUAUUCCAGAGCAAGAAUUGGACAACAUGAAGAACUCGAAGUAGAUCUAGAUUUCAAUUUACCAGACAGUCACACUGGUCUACAUACUACAGUACAGUCCCACACAGCCACUCAUGUGUGGGAAAAUAUCGGUCUGCAGAAAACGACCAACUUUGCUUUGCUGCUGGAGCUAUACUUUAAGGUCAACAUUUUCUCCAGGAGGGUAUCUUCGGCUGCGGGAAAGUCGUCAACAUGGACUGUUCCAGUGAACAUGCAGUCUUGAUUUGUAAGACUAAACUGUCCAACAAACUUCACGGAAAUUAUGCAAGACAUGGGUGAGAGUUUGAGAAUUCAUCUGUAUGGGAUCCCUAUAGAGGAGAGCUUUUCAAAAUUAUACCAGUUAUGCUGACCAGCAAACAUUCAGCAAGUACAUCCAGUACAAUCGACCCUGUCACCUUUGUUCGGUCGGAAGGAAUCUGAGAAAGUAAUCUUCAAUACACAGCUUUUUUUCGAGCAAAACUUUUAAAUUUGCCGCACAGAUGUGACGUAUACGCCUCUGUCUGUGUUGUGAGGACCCUACGUCACAAAAAAUGUCGCGCAAUGCAUUGUGAGAGGAACCGGCUCGAUCAUUCACUUGUUUUUUGCUCAUUAAAGCCUUACUGCACUCCUUUUAGCUACUUGCUC